UUUUUUUUCAUCAAACCUAUACAUGUGGGGUAUCUAUGGAUAGGUCUUCAAAAAUGAUAUUGAGGUUUCUAAUAUCAUUUUUUUCUAAACUGAAUAGUUUGCGCGAGAGACACUUCCAAAGUGGUAAAAUGUGUGUCCCCCCCCCCCCGUAACUUCUAAAAUAAGAGAAUGAUAAAACUAAAAAAAAUAUAUGAUGUACAUUACCAUGUAAACUUCCACCGAAAAUUGGUUUGAACGAGAUCUAGUAAGUAGUUUUUUUUUUAUACAACUGAAACUCAAAAAAAAAAAAUUUUUUUCAUCAAAUCCAUACGUGUGGGGUAUCUAUGGAUAGGUCUUCAAAAAUGACAUUGAGGUUUCUAAUAUCAUUUUUUUCUAAACUGAAUAGUUUGCGCGAGAGACACUUCCAAAGUG
Molecule: long non-coding RNA, 411 nt
Organism: Cydia amplana
Lineage: Eukaryota; Metazoa; Arthropoda; Insecta; Lepidoptera; Tortricidae
Exons: 2
Source: RefSeq, a predicted model, not a curated record